This 156-nucleotide small nuclear RNA is filed under the name Acanthochromis polyacanthus (spiny chromis). RNAcentral's name for it is "U1 spliceosomal RNA (ENSAPOG00000002266.1)". It matches the Rfam family "U1 spliceosomal RNA". Rfam says of the family: U1 is a small nuclear RNA (snRNA) component of the spliceosome (involved in pre-mRNA splicing). Its 5' end forms complementary base pairs with the 5' splice junction, thus defining the 5' donor site of an intron. The record is from RNAcentral. Lineage: Eukaryota; Metazoa; Chordata; Actinopteri; Pomacentridae.
AUCUUAAACUGGUAGGGGAGAUGAUGAAAAAGGUGGUUCACUCAGGGAGACGCCCAGCCAUUGCACUCCAGCCAGCUCAUCCCUGAAAAUUCCAAAAUGUGGGAAUUUCGACGGCAUAAUUUACGGUGGUGGGGGACUGUGACUCAAAUUUCCUGC